RNAcentral lists this ribosomal RNA (253 nucleotides) under uncultured bacterium. RNAcentral describes it as "partial 16S ribosomal RNA". It matches the Rfam family "Bacterial small subunit ribosomal RNA", at positions 524 to 776 of the family's 1533-position model. The record is from RNAcentral.
UACAGAGGGUGCGAGCGUUAAUCGGAAUUACUGGGCGUAAAGCGUGCGCAGCUGGUUACGUAAGUCGGGUGUGAAAGCCCCGGGCUCAACCUGGGAAUUGCAUUCGAGACUGCGUAGCUAGGGUGCGGAAGAGGGAAGCGGAAUUUCCGGUGUAGCGGUGAAAUGCGCAGAUAUCGGGAAGAACACCCGUGGCGAAGGCGGCUCUCUGGGACGGUACUGACGCUGAGACGCGAAAGCGUGGGGAGCGAACAGG